This 1437-nucleotide long non-coding RNA is filed under the name Sphaeramia orbicularis (orbiculate cardinalfish). RNAcentral describes it as "lncRNA (ENSSORG00005015489.1)". The record is from RNAcentral. Lineage: Eukaryota; Metazoa; Chordata; Actinopteri; Kurtiformes; Apogonidae.
GUGAACCUCCAGCUGCUGCAGAGUUGUCUGGGUGUCCUGAAAGGCAACACUUAACUGUAAGCCCCGCCCUCCUCCAGCUGGACACGCCCCCACCACACAGUCCCGCUCAUUUCCAGCUGGACAACGCCCACAAUGGCUGGGUGCUGACGAACGGAUGAACGACACCGAGAACUCUGGACCAGAGAGAACCCAUGAAGAACCCAUGAAGAAGGCUUAGAAUGACAGGAUGUCUGCACCAUCCUCAUCCCACGCACCUGGAUCCACCGGGUCCACCUAGAUCCACCAGGUCCACCAGUCAGAACUCUGGUUCUUCUGGACUGGACCAGACCAGACUGUGGUUCCAGUUUCUGGGUCUGGUCUGUCUAGCUUGGUGGAUUUGGGUCCUGAGCUGGAUCCAGUUGGAUCAGAACAUGUGAACAGGUCCCAGUUGGGUUUCCAUGCUGUAAAAAAUGUGUCAGAUUUGCCAAAUCCUGGACCUGCCCAGACCUCCUGUGGUUCUGUUGGACCCGGGUCUGUCUGGGUUCUGCUUCAGGUCCUGGUUUCCUUGAUGCAGUCCAUCAGAUCUGGAUCAGACCCUGACACUCCGUCAUUUGUUAUAAUUCUAAAAUCAAAAACAGACUCAAACGAAAUCAAAACUGAACUGAAAUGAGUUCCACACGUUUGAUUUGAAUCAUCGUCAAACAUGUGUUCAAAACAACACAGGAUUUUUUACAGCGGGGAACCUGUCCUCUGUCCCUUCACCUUUGGUUUGGCUUUCUGUCUCCUGUCCUUUUAUUUUGGCGGUGUCUUUGUCCGUUCUGGCUCCUGUCCUUUUAUUUUGGCGGUGUGUGUGGUGCAUUCAGGGUCCAGCUCUCGGUUGUGUUCUUAUCACUGUCACUAAAUAAACAGCCUUGUACAUGUUUGUAUGAGUUAACUAAUGAACGCUAAUCCUCUUCCUCCUCUUCCUCCUCCUCUUCCUCCUCCUCUUCCUCCUCCUCUUCUUCCUCUUCCUGCUCCUCCUCGUCACUAACUGUUUCUGAUUGGUUGAUUUCUCGGUUGCCUUAGCGACGCUCCUGUUGAUUUGGUGUAAACAGUUCAAAUCUUCUGAAUGAAGCUGUUUUUGUUGGUUGUUUUUCACUGUAAAUGAAUGUUUCUCACUCUUCUGUGACCAAAGCUCCAUUAACAUUAGCGUUACCGUGGAGACAACGCAUCCGAAAACACAUGAAUACUAAAUAAACAGAAGCAGGAAACAGCGGCUGGUGGGUGUUGGUCUGAUAUGAACUGAAUAAACCUUGACAGCACUUUUCUCAAACAUUUGGAUGCCUUCAGAGGUUUGUGUUGUUUUCACCUGCGCCGCUCUCAUCAUGAUCACGGGUCAGUUUGUGCAUAAACAAACUUUGUGGAACCUUCUGGAACCUUUGAGCUGAGAUUUCAUGUUGUUUCCAGGUUGAUGUUGAA